This 406-nucleotide ribosomal RNA is filed under the name uncultured bacterium. RNAcentral's name for it is "partial 16S ribosomal RNA". It matches the Rfam family "Bacterial small subunit ribosomal RNA", at positions 30 to 526 of the family's 1533-position model. The record is from RNAcentral.
AUUGAACGCUGGCGGCAGGCCUAACCCAUGCAAGUCGAACGAGUGGCGGAAGGGUGAGUAAUGUCUGGGAAACUGCCUGAUGGAGGGGGCUAACUACUGGAAACGGUAGCUAAUACCGCAUACCAUCGGAUGUGCCGAGAUUGGAUUAGCUAGGUGGUGGGGUAACGGCUCACCUAGGCGACGAACCGUAGCUGGUCUGAGAGGAUGACCAGCCACACUGGAACUGAGACACGGUCCAGACUCCUACGGUAGGCAGCAGUGGGGAAUAUUGCACAAUGGGCGAAAGCCUGAUACAGCCAUGCCGCUUGUAUGAAGAAGGCCUUCGGGUUGUAAAGCACUUUCAGCGGUGAGGCGUUACCCGCAGAAGAAGCACCGGCUAACUCAGUGCCAGACGCCGCGGUAAUAC